UGGUUCUGGCAUCGAUGAAGAACGCAGCGAAAUGCGAUAAGUAAUGCGAAUUGCAGAAUUCCAGUGAGUCAUCGAAUCUUUGAACGCACAUUGCGCCCUUUGGUAUUCCGAAGGGCAUGCCUGUUCGAGCGUCAUUUACAACCCUCAAGCCCCCGGCUUGGUGUUGGACGGUUUGGUUUAGGCUUGCCUAGACCCCUCCUAAAAGCAAUGACGGCGGGCUGUUUGCACCCCCGGUACACUGAGCGUCUUAACUGAGCACGUACCGGUCGGGUCGACGGCACCCGGUCUCAACCACAAUAUUUUCCAGGUUGACCUCGGAUCAGGUAGGAAUACCCGCUGA
RNAcentral lists this unclassified non-coding RNA (340 nucleotides) under uncultured fungus. Its description in RNAcentral is "partial contains 5.8S ribosomal RNA and internal transcribed spacer 2". The stretch from base 1 to 134 matches the Rfam family "5.8S ribosomal RNA", at positions 22 to 154 of the family's 154-position model. Lineage: Eukaryota; Fungi. The record is from RNAcentral.